AUUGAACGCUAGCGGGAUGCUUUACACAUGCAAGUCGAACGGCAGCGCGGACUUCGGUCUGGCGGCGAGUGGCGAACGGGUGAGUAAUGUAUCGGAACGUGCCCAGUAGCGGGGGAUAACUACGCGAAAGCGUAGCUAAUACCGCAUACGCCCUACGGGGGAAAGCAGGGGAUCGUAAGACCUUGCACUAUUGGAGCGGCCGAUAUCGGAUUAGCUAGUUGGUGAGGUAACGGCUCACCAAGGCGACGAUCCGUAGCUGGUUUGAGAGGACGACCAGCCACACUGGGACUGAGACACGGCCCAGACUCCUACGGGAGGCAGCAGUGGGGAAUUUUGGACAAUGGGGGCAACCCUGAUCCAGCCAUCCCGCGUGUGCGAUGAAGGCCUUCGGGUUGUAAAGCACUUUUGGCAGGAAAGAAACGAAGCGGGCUAAUACCCCGUGGAACUGACGGUACCUGCAGAAUAAGCACCGGCUAACUACGUG
This 484-nucleotide ribosomal RNA is filed under the name uncultured bacterium. Its description in RNAcentral is "partial 16S ribosomal RNA". It matches the Rfam family "Bacterial small subunit ribosomal RNA", at positions 30 to 507 of the family's 1533-position model. The record is from RNAcentral.